GACCCUCGAUAUUCGAGCCUAUUCUCUCUCCAUUAUCUCCUCAACCGCGUCGUCUUCGCCCGCAACAUCUUGCCAGGGCCGGUGCCCUCCUCCCCCUCCUGGCCAUGUCCAGCGCCGCCGCCUUUUUCCUCGGCCUGUGCCGGCGCCCGCUCCGUCUUGCCCUUCGAUUCCUCCCAAAAAAGGCAUGUGCUUCUCUUCGGAUGCACCAAUGGCGCCCCGACGAGGAUAUCAAGUUCUUCAGCCGGACGGGUUCGAGGAGAAGGCAGGAACUCGCGGCGGCGAAUCUCUAGAUCCUCGGAUGCCGGCGAGCGGCUAGCGGCGGCAUGUAGAGCCGGGGCAGGAAGCGGCGGGGAAACCUUAGGGCUCCCGAACGCUCGGUACGGACGCCCUCCUAGCUUCUCCGUCCUCCACCUCCGCUCCGCCUGUGAACACAGCGUAGGCCCAACCAUCGAGCGCUCCAGGCUUCAGCACUCUAUUCCUCCUCGUCUGUAGCAGGAAGGACGAGGAUGGAAACGGCUGCAGUUAUCACCGGAUCUGUGAUGGUACUCUCCUGUGGCGCCUAAUAUAGGAGGAUGCCAUCCAUCUGAGAGCACGAGCAUGCUGGACUAUUGGGCAGCAGCGGUUCGAGAUCUGAAGAUAUUUACACAGCUUGAGUUACUUCAGUUUUUUGAGCCCUACUGCUUGGGAAGGGCUGCUGAUUUCGAGGAUAGUUCAUGCCCAUGAGGGAGCUGGUGCUGUUGCAUGCAUAGGCGUCGUGACUGCGACUGCAAGAGGAUACGGUGGAGGUGCAGCAUCACAUGUGAGGGCUCGAUGGUGGAGCGGCGCUUCAUCGGUGGCAGCCUCGCUGCUCUGGAGCCAUUGCUCGCUACAGCUGCUCCCCCCUCCAAUAUUUCAGGCGAUAAUUGUUGGUACUUCAGUUGUUUGCUUUGCUCUGCUACCUUCCCACAAUUCAUUUGGUAAUUAUUGGUACUUCGGUUGAUCCUUGAGGCAUUGAGGAGGGGGAAAACGAUUAAGGAGGAGAUGGGGCUGUACAUGGAGAGAUUUUGCUGCUAUCUAGCUAGAAGCAUCCUCAGUUACUUUAAAGUCAGCGAUCAAAAUGUUAGAGGUAACAAUACACUGGUUAAUAGAUUGUAAUUUCUCCUCCUGUUAGUGUUGGUGAACCAGAAAAAACAUUGAUAAUACGUGUGGUCAGUUUUGGGGGUGAAAAUAAUUUGAAUUUUCUCAAGAUGUUAGCAUUCCUCUUACAAAAAUUAUGUGAUCGUCUCUGUAUUCAGUAACAAUGUGUUAUUUCUGGAAUACAUAUGGUUUAGUUUAUAUCCAUCAGAUUUUAUUUUGUAUAUGUUUAGCUUAUGAUUUAGUUGAUAUACACUUCGCACACGGAAUAUGCUGCUUUAAAACGGUAUGAAGACUGGGUCGUUGGGUGAGCAGCUUUCUGCUAAGGUUGCAAUUUCUAUGAAUUGAAUCAAAUUUGCACAAAUCAGUGAAACUGAACCUGAAAAAUAGUCAUGUAUAUUGAAUCAAAUUUGCACAAAUCAGUGAAACUGAACCUGAAAAAUAGUCCUGUAUUAAGGGUGAUUAUAUAGUGUAUGAAGGAAUGCACAAUUGGUGUAAAAUAAACACACAUUACUGGAACCAUCAACACAUGAUUUCUACAGGUUGAAUGGACGUGCCUAACAUGAUCUCAGUUAGUGUUUUCUGUUCUAAUUUGGUUCUGACUUAUAAAGAAUGGUUUGCUACUUCUUUCUCAGUGGUUUAAGACAUGCAUCAGAUUUCUCAGUGAAGUUUGUUGGUGAGGUUUACAUGGAGGGUACAGCCCCGGAACGACUCUACUUAUUUCGGGCAUGCCUUGCCUCCAACCAAACCAUUCUACUCUAUCCUUUAUCUGGAUGUGCUAAGGCUCAAGGGUAAGGCUUAUGCGGUGACUAUUUUCAAAAAUGGCUCAAAAAUGCUAAUGUGGUUUGUGGUUUUUGUUUGUUGGUUUGCAUCUGUUUUUGUCUUAUGACGAGAUUUCUAUCUUCCAUAACAUGAUGAUAGUACUUAUGUCAAUGCAAUAACAAAGAGGGAUUGAUUGCUGGGUUUGAAUUUCACAGCUAUAUAGGGAAGAAAGAGCCAGAGUUUCAAUAGUUAACAUGGCCCAGAAUGCCACGGUCCUUUUUAAGUCAAUGAAGAAUGGACUAUAUCAUCUUUCAGGUUUCUUUGGUAGGUAAAGAUCAUGAGUGUAAAUGGCGUAUUAGAAAUAACGUGGGCGCAGGCUUUUGUUAGAUGGUCAUCAGCCUACCAUGUGUACAUGGAAGUUGGUCACGUAACCUAUAUGUAGAUUUUGCUCCUUUGGUCAGUGGUUUAUGCAAUUAUUUGAUUUAACUAUUGAUCUAGACUUUAGUUUCAGUGAUGAAUUUAUAUAUAUAUAUUCUCUAGGAAAAUGAUUUCUUACUUGAGUUCUCACAUGUAGUUCAGGUGUCUCAUCGUAUAUUAUCCUAUUUAAGACAAGUAUAUUAAAAUUGUCGUGUCCUAUGUCGUUAAGAAAAAUCCAGAACAUACUAAAGUAUUUUCAUGGUAUACAUAGUCUUUACAUUAAUUCAGUAUGGCUGAGAUAAGGUUUCUGUAUAGAAAAAGAAUCAAUAUCAUGAUAGUUGAGUUCUCCUUGAACAGUGUGUUAUCGCAUCAUUCUAAGAAAUAGUUUAUAGAGCUUUGUUUUGAGGUUCCAAUGGUCAAUUGAGGCUAAACCAGAAUUAGAAGCCUUGGUAGUUGAAAUUAAAAAUACUAUUUUGCUUUGAAAUUCAAAUCUAGGAUAAAAAAAUUCUAGAUAGUUUCAUCCUUACUUUCCCAAUAUGUGUCAUAAGCGUUUCUUGAUUUGUCAUCUUCUGAUUGUGAAGAAUGUUCUGCAUUUGUACAGUGGGUUUUCGAUGUUGGAAAUGGUGAUAUUUUAGGACACUCCACAAGUGGGGAGGACUCCGGUUCCUGGAUAACAAUUCCUGAAGAUCUUGUGUUGCAUCCGACUUCCAGUAAUGUGGAUGCAGCCAUUCAGAGUGUUUAUGAUUCUUUCUUUAUCAGUUAUACUUCUGCUGAUUAUCUUGCACAACGUUCUAUUGUGUGUCCAACAAAUACAGUUGAUGAGAUUAAUGAUUCAGUAUUUCAGCUUGCGCUGGGAAGCUUCAGAGGUACUUCUGCUGUGACUCUAUAUUUAAAUCAACUGAUCAUGUUUCUGAUACUGACCAUCUCUACCCUCCUGAGUUUCCCCGCUCUGUGACAUCAAUAAUUUUCCUCAGCAUGAGCUUAAUUUGAAGGUUGGCGUCCUGAUGAUGCUUCUUAGAAACAUUAACCAGUCACUGGGCUUGUGUAACGGUUAUGGCUUGGCGGAGAAGUUCUGGAAGGGGAAAUAAUUAGUGGCUCGCAUAGAGGCAGGUGUGUCUAUUCCGAGAAUUGUUCUGAAUUCUGUUGAUUUGAAGUGGCCAUUUACAUCACAACGGUGCCAGUUCCCAGUUCUUUAAUGCUAAAGUAUCACUAUGGCGUGCCCACAAUUGGCAUUUCUACUGGUGGGUCUACAAGUCUGUCAUGAUGUCAUCUCUUGCCUUUGGUGUACUGCUGAUAUGCAACGGCCUUUGUUCGGCCACAAGCGCAAGCGACACUGCAAUAAUCACUGGUAAAUCGAUAUACAUUGGAUGAAGACGACGGGGUAGCUAAAGUAGGAUUUAUGUAUGGAUGUAAAACUUGGUAUAUCGUCCUGUGUACAAG
Long non-coding RNA from Lolium rigidum, 3732 nucleotides. RefSeq lists it as uncharacterized. Lineage: Eukaryota; Viridiplantae; Streptophyta; Magnoliopsida; Poales; Poaceae. The transcript has 3 exons. The record is from RefSeq and is a predicted model, not a curated record.